This 468-nucleotide ribosomal RNA is filed under the name uncultured bacterium. Its description in RNAcentral is "partial 16S ribosomal RNA". It matches the Rfam family "Bacterial small subunit ribosomal RNA", at positions 28 to 507 of the family's 1533-position model. The record is from RNAcentral.
GACGAACGCUGGCGGCGUGCUUAACACAUGCAAGUCGAACGGAAAGGCCCUGCUUUUGUGGGGUGCUCGAGUGGCGAACGGGUGAGUAACACGUGAGUAACCUGCCCUUGACUUUGGGAUAACUUCAGGAAACUGGGGCUAAUACCGGAUAGGAGCUCCUGCUGCAUGGUGGGGGUUGGAAAGUUUCGGCGGUUGGGGAUGGACUCGCGGCUUAUCAGCUUGUUGGUGGGGUAGUGGCUUACCAAGGCUUUGACGGGUAGCCGGCCUGAGAGGGUGACCGGCCACAUUGGGACUGAGAUACGGCCCAGACUCCUACGGGAGGCAGCAGUGGGGAAGAUUGCACAAUGGGCGGAAGUCUGAUGCAGCAACGCCGCGUGCGGGAUGACGGCCUUCGGGUUGUAAACCGCUUUCGCCUGUGACGAAGCGUGAGUGACGGUAAUGGGUAAAGAAGCACCGGCUAACUACGUG